This 255-nucleotide ribosomal RNA is filed under the name uncultured bacterium. Its description in RNAcentral is "partial 16S ribosomal RNA". It matches the Rfam family "Bacterial small subunit ribosomal RNA", at positions 524 to 776 of the family's 1533-position model. The record is from RNAcentral.
GACAGAGGCCUCAAGCGUUAGGCGGAAUCACUGGGCUUAAAGCGUGUGUAGGCGGACGCCUAAGUGUCUUGUGAAAUCCCCCGGCUCACCCGGGGAACUGCUGGGCACUACUGGGCGUCUUGGGCCAACUAGGGGCAACUGGAACAAGCGGUGGAGCGGUGAAAUGCGUAGAUAUCGCUUGGAACGCCGAAGGUGAAAACAGGUUGCUGGGGUUGUGCCGACGCGUGAGACACGAAAGCCAGGGGAGCAAACGGG